UACAGACAUAUAUUGAAUACAGACUGAUUAUGGAUUAACUGGUAUGAGCCAAGCAUCUGUUUUUCGCUGGCGCAAUAGGUUCAAAGAUGGUAGAGAGGA
Octopus sinensis (East Asian common octopus) is the source of this 99-nucleotide long non-coding RNA. RefSeq lists it as uncharacterized. NCBI's taxonomy places the organism in Eukaryota, Metazoa, Mollusca, Cephalopoda, Octopoda, Octopodidae. The transcript is spliced from 3 exons. The record is from RefSeq and is a predicted model, not a curated record.